GACGAACGCUGGCGGCGUGCUUAACACAUGCAAGUCGAACGGAAAGGCCCUGCUUUUGUGGGGUGCUCGAGUGGCGAACGGGUGAGUAACACGUGAGUAAGCUGCCCUUGACUUUGGGAUAACUUCAGGAAACUGGGGCUAAUACCGGCUAGGAGCUCCUGCUGCAUGGUGGGGGUUGGAAAGUUUCGGCGGUUGGGGAUGGACUCGGGGCUUACCAGCUUGUUGGUGGGGUAGUGGCUUACCAAGGCUUUGACGGGUAGCCGGCCUGAGAGGGUGAACGGCCACAUUGGGACUGAGAUACGGCCCAGACUCCUACGGGAGGCAGCAGUGGGGAAUAUUGCACAAUGGGGGGAAGCCUGAUGCAGCAACGCCGCGUGCGGGAUGACGGCCUUCGGGGUGUAAACCGCUUUCGCCUGUGACGAAGCGUGAGUGACGGUAAUGGGUAAAGAAGCACCGGCUAACUACGUG
Molecule: ribosomal RNA, 468 nt
Filed under: uncultured bacterium
Lineage: Bacteria
Description: partial 16S ribosomal RNA
Rfam family: Bacterial small subunit ribosomal RNA
Source: RNAcentral